UACGUAGGGGGCAAGCGUUGUCCGGAAUCAUUGGGCGUAAAGAGCGUGUAGGCGGCCCGAUAAGUCCGCUGUGAAAGUCCAGGGCUCAACCCUGGGAUGCCGGUGGAUACUGUCGGGCUCGAGUCCGGAAGAGGAGUGUGGAAUUCCUGGUGUAGCGGUGAAAUGCGCAGAUAUUAGGAGGAACACCAAUGGCGAAGGCAGCACUCUGGGACGUGACUGACGCUGAGACGCGAAAGCGUGGGGAGCAAACAGG
Molecule: ribosomal RNA, 253 nt
Filed under: uncultured bacterium
Lineage: Bacteria
Description: partial 16S ribosomal RNA
Rfam family: Bacterial small subunit ribosomal RNA
Source: RNAcentral